CCAGGGCGUACACACACGCUACAAUGGACAGUACAACAGGUUGCCAAGCCGCGAGGCGGAGCCAAUCCUCUAAAGACUGUCCUCAGUUCAGAUUGCAGGCUGCAACUCGCCUCGCAUGAAGUUGGAGUUGCUAGUAACCGCAGGUCAGCUAUACUGCGGUGAAUACGUUCCCGGGGAUU
This 179-nucleotide ribosomal RNA is filed under the name uncultured Anaerolineaceae bacterium. Its description in RNAcentral is "partial 16S ribosomal RNA". It matches the Rfam family "Bacterial small subunit ribosomal RNA", at positions 1208 to 1378 of the family's 1533-position model. Lineage: Bacteria; Bacillati; Chloroflexota; Anaerolineae; Anaerolineales; Anaerolineaceae. The record is from RNAcentral.